AUGUUCGCUUUGGCACCAAAUAUAUUAAAAUUAGAAUGAUAGGGAGAUUACCAUGGCCCAUGUGCAAGGAUGGUAUACAAAUUCAUGAAACAUUCAUAUUUUUU
Dipodomys ordii (Ord's kangaroo rat) is the source of this 104-nucleotide small nuclear RNA. NCBI's taxonomy places the organism in Eukaryota, Metazoa, Chordata, Mammalia, Rodentia, Heteromyidae. The record is from Ensembl.